RNAcentral lists this microRNA precursor (203 nucleotides) under Oryza sativa Indica Group (long-grained rice). Its description in RNAcentral is "MIR812 microRNA precursor family". It matches the Rfam family "MIR812 microRNA precursor family". Lineage: Eukaryota; Viridiplantae; Streptophyta; Magnoliopsida; Poales; Poaceae. The record is from Rfam by way of RNAcentral.
AAUGUAUGACACCGUUGACUUUUUGUCCAACGUUUGACCAUUCGUCUUAUUCAAAAAAAAAGUAAUUAUUAUUUAUUUUAUUAUGAAUUGAUUCGUUAUCAAAUGUUCUUUAAGCAUGACAUAAAUAUUUUCAUAUUUGCACAAAAAUUUUAAAUAAAACGAAUGGUCAAACGUUGGUCGAAAAGUCAAUAGCGUCAUACAUU